RNAcentral lists this unclassified non-coding RNA (215 nucleotides) under plant metagenome. RNAcentral's name for it is "partial contains small subunit ribosomal RNA and internal transcribed spacer 1". The stretch from base 1 to 46 matches the Rfam family "Eukaryotic small subunit ribosomal RNA", at positions 1786 to 1831 of the family's 1831-position model. The record is from RNAcentral.
AAGUCGUAACAAGGUCUCCGUAGGUGAACCUGCGGAGGGAUCAUUACAGAGCAUCGUGCCCCCGCCCGGGUAGAUCUCCCACCCUGUGUCUCACGUACCUCCUGUUGCUUUGGCGGGCCGCCCUCGGCCACCGGCCCUGGCUGGUGCGCGCCCGCCAGAGGACCCCCCAACUCUGAAUGUUAGUGUCGUCUGAGUACUAUAUGUAAUAGUUAAAA